This 468-nucleotide ribosomal RNA is filed under the name uncultured bacterium. Its description in RNAcentral is "partial 16S ribosomal RNA". It matches the Rfam family "Bacterial small subunit ribosomal RNA", at positions 28 to 507 of the family's 1533-position model. The record is from RNAcentral.
GACGAACGCUGGCGGCGUGCUUAACACAUGCAAGUCGAACGGAAAGGCCCUGCUUUUGUGGGGUGCUCGAGUGGCGAACGGGUGUGUAACACGUGAGUAACCUGCCCUUGACUUUGGGAUAACUUCAGGAAACUGGGGCUAAUACCGGAUAGGAGCUCCUGCUGCAUGGUGGGGGUUGGAAAGUUUCGGCGGUUGGGGAUGGACUCGCGGCUUAUCAGCUUGUUGGUGGGGUAGUGGCUUACCAAGGCUUUGACGGGUAGCCGGCCUGAGAGGGUGACCGGCAACAUUGGGACUGAGAUACGGACCAGACUGCUACGGGAGGCAGAAGUGGGGAAUAUUGCACAAUGGGCGGAAGCCUGAUGCAGCAACGCCGCGUGCGGGAUGACGGCCUUCGGGUUGUAAACCGCUUUCGCCUGUGACGAAGCGUGAGUGACGGUAAUGGGUAAAGAAGCACCGGCUAACUACGUG